GUAGGUGAACCUGCGGAAGGAUCAUUACCUUUCAAUGCAGAAGAGUUGAGGUGGUUGAGUAUCUCGCCCCUCAAUUCUCGCUGUAUUUUACCCUUGUUUUUCUCAUACUAUUAUUUCCUCGGCAGGCCAGCCUGCCGGGUGAAACAACUUCAAACCUGUUUAAUUUUCAAUCAGCGUCUGAACAAAUUAAUAAUUACAACUUUCAACAACGGAUCUCUUGGUUCUG
This 226-nucleotide unclassified non-coding RNA is filed under the name rhizosphere metagenome. Its description in RNAcentral is "partial ribosomal RNA internal transcribed spacer region". The record is from RNAcentral.